This is a long non-coding RNA of Diabrotica virgifera virgifera (western corn rootworm), 1299 nucleotides long. RefSeq lists it as uncharacterized. The transcript has 2 exons. The record is from RefSeq and is a predicted model, not a curated record. Lineage: Eukaryota; Metazoa; Arthropoda; Insecta; Coleoptera; Chrysomelidae.
UAUAGGUGUAUAUGGAAAAAAAUUGCUCAUAAGAUCAAUUUUUUUUUCCAAGUAAUGGGAGAAUGUAACGAUCAGUAUCCCGAUCGUUACUAUAAGAUUCAUUUCUGUAACUAUUAAGUAUGCAACCCGGUAUACGUUCACUCGCAUAGAGUGUAAUCUAAACUUGAGCCCAUCAUAAUUAUUUUGGUUGGUAGUAUGGUUAGUGAAUUUUACAUUUAUUCGUUGGCUCAUGGGUAAAUGACAAUUUCCGCCUGUUGACAGGACGGAAAGAAAGUGAAAGUUGAUGGUUACUUGAUCUUCGGUAGCCGUCUGCAAAUGAUGUGAUUUUCCAGCGACCGGUGUCUAGCCAUUUUAUUUUAUUUAGAAAAUAAUUAUUUAGUUGAAAAGGAAUGCAUUUAAGUUGGAAAGAAGUUUAUUUUAUAGUAUAAAUUAUAGUGAGAGUGCUGUUUUAGUUCCAAUAUCGGAGGAUUCUGGACAUUGGUCGCUGGAGAAUAGAAGAUUUAGUCAACAGAAAUAAGAAUAAUUUUUGGGAAAGAGUGGGAAAUUUUGGGACAUAUUUGGAAGUUUUGAUUUUAUUGGAAUCUUGGUUUUUAUGGAAUUUAUUUUUUGGAAUUCGCCGGUACUGAGAGGUAUCUCCAGUUGGUAACAAGGAUACACCUCCCUCCUAGGUUGAGGAACACCGCAAGCUACCUUCCUUGGGCCUCUGAUCAUUCCCUGGAAAGAGUUGGAGAACCCAUGGUCACUUGGUAGACCGGACAGGUUUUUAUAAGUCAAUUUGAUUGUAAUUUGUUUUAAUAAUAUUUGCACUUUUACCUAUUUUUUUUUGUAUCAAUAACUUAAUAAUCCUAAUAAUAGUAUACCUUCAUUUUCUUAAACAUAAUUAAACUAAACAAUAAUUUUUCAAAAAUUUUAUAUUUCAAGGUUAGCUCAUUUAUUUUAAAAUAGUAGGGGGGAUUAUAAACUAUCUGUAAAGAUAGUGUGCACAUUAUCUCAGUUUGAAUCCUUAUCGAAACUUUGAUUUCAUUGUCAGGUAUUAUACUUACGUUUAUCACCUCCGAACAGAUACGAUAUUGUCAGCCAAUAUUGGCUUCUUCAUUAACAACAAAUUUGUACCUACAUACAUUUUUACAUUAAUUAACUUUCAUAUAUAAACCAUUCAUUACAUAUUUUUCACAUAUUGUAAAAACCUGUGUUAUCAACAGGAGUGUCAUAGCUUAGUACGUCCGGUUUAGCUAGUGUAUAAAAAUUGUAUAUAGGGGUUAUAGGUUUGUUUCAUUAAAUUUGUUAGUUGUACCUAAA